CCCAAUUUCUCCGCAAUCCUUCCCACGCGCGUCUUCUCCCCUUUCCGCGUGUGCCCUCUCCCCUUUCAGCUUCCUCCAUCGCGCCUCUCUUCCCAACCGUUCUCCCCGCUUCCAUCGCCGCCGCCCCCGCCCGCUACUCGCGUGCUUCGCCCGUCACACGGUGACUCACACCGAUCCACGCCGCCACCGACGACGAUCUCCUCCGCGCCGCCCCUCCGUGCAACCCCUAACUGCCGCCCCCAUUCCUCCCCUCACCAUCCAACCUCGCCACCUGACGAUUCCCCUAAGCGCCGCUCUCCCCGCUUCCAUCGCCGCCCCCCGCUGCUCGCGCGCCUCCGCCCAUCGCGCCGAUCCACGCCGCCACCGAUGACGAUCUCCUCCGUGCCGCCCCUCCGUGUAUCGUCUAACUGCCACCCCAUCCCUUCCCUCACCAUCCAACCUCGCCGCCCGACGAUUCCCCUAAGCGCCACGCGCUCUCAUCCGUCCCAUCACCAUCUCCUUCCAACCUCUCCGGCCAUCCGCCCUCAUCCCUCCCCUCGCCAUGUCCUUCCAACCUCAUCGGCCAUCCGGACGUCGCCCCCUGCCCGUCGGAGAUCGACGGCCGCCGGUUCCACCAACCACCGCAAUUGACCCCAUCUCUCAUCUCUGUGUUUACUGAAUAUUUGGUAUUAUACGGUGUUUAUUCAUCUCUCAUCUCUGUGUUUAUUCAGCUAUGUUAGGGAUGUGGAACACAAUUCUUCGUGUUACUCACUGAUUUAACUGAAAUUUUGAUUACUGAACACUUGCAGCAUAGUGUUUGAUUUUGACCAAAUCCACUAUAGUGAUGGCAGAUGAACAGUGAUACUACUUCAACAUCAGAAAUUUUCUGCAUGUUGUGAGGAUUGUUCAGCUGGCUUGCACACAUUAAGAUAUGGAUAACAAUAUUGGGGGCUCCACACCAGCAUCGUUAACAAGAUCACGCCCUUUUGCUGAUAUUACUAAUACAAGUGCCGGGGAUAAAAAAAGAACGUAACAGUAUUGGGUCUCCCCCCUCUUAUCUUUAACAACAUCAAGAGUUUUUUUUGUCAGUUAUAUUCAGUCCAUCAAGAUGUCACUUGCGUACUAAUUUCGCAAGAUUUCCUCCCUCAGCCCUGUUUGCCGAUAUUACUAAUGCAAGCGCGGGGGGAUUUACAAAUAAACCAUGUCAGUAAGAGAUGCACAUCCUCCAAUUUGCCGCAAAAGGAAAUAUGCAAAAUCUGCAAGAAGGUGGUGCUAAUCUCAGCGCAUUAGAAUUAAGAAGGAAGUGAUGUGACCAUGGCUACUAUGGAUACAACCGUUGCUCACAUCAUAGAUGAACAACAAGAUAUUAAGUUCAAGUCCUCCAAGUGCUGGAAUCCGAUUCUGCUACACUGCUGACUUCAAACGGCCACCAAAUCUGCAUACGACCUCCGUUUUCGGCCCGUGAGUACUUGAUGGAAAGCUCUCGGAGUCGUCUUUCCAACGGAUCCAGCAUCAUCCCCGAAUUCCAUCUUGUUUUGACGCAAUCACAAAAACAAGGUGCUGCGUCACCUGUCAUGGGCCUUUGGGCUUGUAACUUCGUUUGGGACCCCGGCCCAAGUGGGGCCCAGUGGGGUGCGCCCCAAUCUGGUAGAGCACGACCCUAGGAUCCUCUUGGUCGUUCUCGCACCCCUAUAAGUAGCCAGAUACCCCUUCAGGGUUGCUUAGGGUUUUGAUUAAUUGUAAGUUUAGCCAUUGCUACUUAGCUUGCAGCGCGCAUGUCGGCUAGACCGUCCAUCUGCUUGUUCGAAACCUCACUUUAUCGUGUAUCAAUUCAUCUUUGUGCGUCUUGUCUAUCUAAUAA
Oryza sativa Japonica Group (Japanese rice) is the source of this 1840-nucleotide non-coding RNA. NCBI's taxonomy places the organism in Eukaryota, Viridiplantae, Streptophyta, Magnoliopsida, Poales, Poaceae. The record is from RefSeq and is a predicted model, not a curated record.